CAUCAGAUGACUGAAAGCAAGUAAUGGUCUCUUAAACCAGUUUAUGAUACCUUAGCGAGUAUCUUUGAUGA
Molecule: transfer RNA, 71 nt
Filed under: Microcerotermes sp. B TB-2017
Lineage: Eukaryota; Metazoa; Arthropoda; Insecta; Blattodea; Termitidae
Description: tRNA-Lys
Source: RNAcentral